This 663-nucleotide long non-coding RNA is filed under the name Oryctolagus cuniculus (rabbit). Its description in RNAcentral is "lncRNA (ENSOCUG00000030225.1)". Lineage: Eukaryota; Metazoa; Chordata; Mammalia; Lagomorpha; Leporidae. The record is from RNAcentral.
AUGCCCAUGUGGUGUUCUAGCGCUGCAGGCAGAGGCUUAACCUACUAUUCCACAGCUCCAGUCCCUGAAGCCCAGUCUUGCACUAAGUGUCGAUGGACCAGGAGGAAUUUCUCCUGUUCUAGCAGAGAGAGGACACCGUGGCCAUGCACUCACACACACAAGUCUGACCUGGAGCAGAGGCCACUUACCGCGGGCGUGGAACAGAUGCUGCUCGGAGCCUGGGGACAAGGUCAGCCAACCCAGAUCCAGCACUUUGAGUCUCCCUGGGUCUCCAACUGCCCAUCCAUCUCUUUUGGCUGGGAGCCCGGGGGUCCAGGGUAUCCUCAGUGAGAUCUCCUGACCCUGUGGUCACUCAUUGCCAAACCCUGUCCCUGCUGAGGCGCCAGGCAAAGGUAUUCAUGCAUCUCAAUUCUAGCUGCACGAAACGGGAGGAGAGCCUUCCCUGUGGAUGCGCACGAAGCAAAGCUGCCCACGGUGCUGUCCCUGGCCAUGGUGAGGGCCAUCUCGUGGUUUGGGCUUGGGCUUUCCUGCAGUGGCCUCCCUGGUGGUCUCUCUUUUACUGUCUUGGGAGGGCUGGGAAGGGUGCUGGUCUCAGGGGUGGUCCUAUCUCUUCAGGCAUGAGGACCUCAGCUUGAGACCACGCCUGUGCUUUCUUAUCUCUCC